This 80-nucleotide transfer RNA is filed under the name Roseivivax sp. THAF40. Its description in RNAcentral is "tRNA-Asn". Lineage: Bacteria; Pseudomonadati; Pseudomonadota; Alphaproteobacteria; Rhodobacterales; Roseobacteraceae. The record is from RNAcentral.
UUCAUCGUUAGGAAGCGUUUUGGUUCCAAACUUGACUGUUAAUCAAUUGGUCGUAGGUUCGAUCCCUACCGCCGGAGCCA